UUGCUGGUGGCGGGCUCAGAUAUUUUACCUUGAGAAAAUUAGAGUGUUUCAGGCAGGCUAGGCCGGAAUACAUUAGCAUGGAAUAAUGGAAUAGGACUACGGUCUCUUUGUUGGUUUGAGGGACUGCAGUAAUGAUUAAUAGGGAUAGUUGGGGGCAUUAGUACUUAACUGUCAGAGGUGGAAUUCUCAGAUUUGUUAAAGACUGACUUAUGCGAAAGCAUUUGCCAAGGAUGUUUUCAUCGAUCAAGAACGAAAGU
Molecule: ribosomal RNA, 257 nt
Filed under: uncultured eukaryote
Lineage: Eukaryota
Description: partial small subunit ribosomal RNA
Rfam family: Eukaryotic small subunit ribosomal RNA
Source: RNAcentral